CAAGGAGCGGUUUGCUGGAGUGGA
This 24-nucleotide non-coding RNA is filed under the name Cricetulus griseus (Chinese hamster). Lineage: Eukaryota; Metazoa; Chordata; Mammalia; Rodentia; Cricetidae. The record is from RNAcentral.